Molecule: ribosomal RNA, 264 nt
Filed under: uncultured bacterium
Lineage: Bacteria
Description: partial 16S ribosomal RNA
Rfam family: Bacterial small subunit ribosomal RNA
Source: RNAcentral
GUCCACGCCGUAAACGAUGGACACUAGGCGUCGGGGGAGCGACCCCUCCGGUGCCGUCGCUAACGCAGUAAGUGUCCCGCCUGGGGAGUACGGCCGCAAGGCUGAAACUCAAAGGAAUUGACGGGGGCCCGCACAAGCGGUGGAGCAUGUGGUUUAAUUCGAAGCAACGCGAAGAACCUUACCUGGGCUUGACAUGCUGGUGAAAGCUGGUGGAAACACCGGCCCCUCUUCGGAGCGCCAGCACAGGUGCUGCAUGGCUGUCGU